CCUACGGGGGGCAGCAGUAGGGAAUCUUUCACAAUGGGCGAAAGCCUGAUGGAGCAACUCCGCGUGCAGGAUGAAGGCCUUCGGGUUGUAAACUGCUUUUAUAAGCGAGAAAUAUGAUGGUAACUUAUGAAUAAGGAUCGGCUAACUACGUGCCAGCAGCCGCGGUCAUACGUAGGAGCCGAGCAUUAUCCGGGGUGACUGGGUGUAAAGAGUUGCGUAGGUAGCCUAAUAAGUAGCUAGUGAAAUUCGGCGGGUGAACCAUUCAGACCAUUAGCGAAACUGCUAAGCUCGAGACCGUUAGGGGGAACUGGAAUUUCACGUGUAGGAGUGAAAUCCGUAGAUAUUUGGAAGAAAACCAAUAGCGUAGGCAGGUUACUGGGACGGUUCUGACACUAAGACACGAAAGCGUAGGGAGCAAACGGGAUUAGAUACCCGUGUAGUC
Molecule: ribosomal RNA, 442 nt
Filed under: uncultured bacterium
Lineage: Bacteria
Description: partial 16S ribosomal RNA
Rfam family: Bacterial small subunit ribosomal RNA
Source: RNAcentral